AUCAUGACACUGGUACGAGGUCCAAUAGUUGAACUAUUUUGGACAACAGGAAAUGCCGGUCAUAACUCUCAAAGUGGUGGGUUAAAUCUAAGCCAUGCUAUCAAAGGUUCCAUCAUGAUAACAAUUGGGUGCUUCAGUUGGGCUGCAUUCAUGAUUUUGCAGGCAAUCACACUGCGGACUUAUCCCGCUGAGCUCUCGCUCACUGCUUGGAUAUGCUUGUUGGGAACAACUGAGGGAGCCAUAGUAGCAAUGGUAAUGGAGAGAGGAAAACCUGCAGUGUGGGCCAUAAACUGGGACUCUAAGUUUCUUGCAGCUGUAUACAGUGGAAUA
This 330-nucleotide unclassified non-coding RNA is filed under the name Hevea brasiliensis (rubber tree). Lineage: Eukaryota; Viridiplantae; Streptophyta; Magnoliopsida; Malpighiales; Euphorbiaceae. The record is from RNAcentral.